AAUUGAAGAGUUUGAUCAUGGCUCAGAUUGAACGCUGGCGGCAGGCCUAACACAUGCAAGUCGAACGGUAACAGAAAGCAGCUUGCUGCUUUGCUGACGAGUGGCGGACGGGUGAGUAAUGUCUGGGAAACUGCCUGAUGGAGGGGGAUAACUACUGGAAACGGUAGCUAAUACCGCAUAACGUCGCAAGACCAAAGAGGGGGACCUUCGGGCCUCUUGCCAUCGGAUGUGCCCAGAUGGGAUUAGCUUGUUGGUGGGGUAACGGCUCACCAAGGCGACGAUCCCUAGCUGGUCUGAGAGGAUGACCAGCCACACUGGAACUGAGACACGGUCCAGACUCCUACGGGAGGCAGCAGUGGGGAAUAUUGCACAAUGGGCGCAAGCCUGAUGCAGCCAUGCCGCGUGUAUGAAGAAGGCCUUCGGGUUGUAAAGUACUUUCAGCGGGGAGGAAGGGAGUAAAGUUAAUACCUUUGCUCAUUGACGUUACCCGCAGAAGAAGCACCGGCUAACUCCGUGCCAGCAGCCGCGGUAAUACGGAGGGUGCAAGCGUUAAUCGGAAUUACUGGGCGUAAAGCGCACGCAGGCGGUUUGUUAAGUCAGAUGUGAAAUCCCCGGGCUCAACCUGGGAACUGCAUCUGAUACUGGCAAGCUUGAGUCUCGUAGAGGGGGGUAGAAUUCCAGGUGUAGCGGUGAAAUGCGUAGAGAUCUGGAGGAAUACCGGUGGCGAAGGCGGCCCCCUGGACGAAGACUGACGCUCAGGUGCGAAAGCGUGGGGAGCAAACAGGAUUAGAUACCCUGGUAGUCCACGCCGUAAACGAUGUCGACUUGGAGGUUGUGCCCUUGAGGCGUGGCUUCCGGAGCUAACGCGUUAAGUCGACCGCCUGGGGAGUACGGCCGCAAGGUUAAAACUCAAAUGAAUUGACGGGGGCCCGCACAAGCGGUGGAGCAUGUGGUUUAAUUCGAUGCAACGCGAAGAACCUUACCUGGUCUUGACAUCCACAGAACUUUUCAGAGAUGAGAAUGUGCCUUCGGGAACCGUGAGACAGGUGCUGCAUGGCUGUCGUCAGCUCGUGUUGUGAAAUGUUGGGUUAAGUCCCGCAACGAGCGCAACCCUUAUCCUUUGUUGCCAGCGGUCCGGCCGGGAACUCAAAGGAGACUGCCAGUGAUAAACUGGAGGAAGGUGGGGAUGACGUCAAGUCAUCAUGGCCCUUACGACCAGGGCUACACACGUGCUACAAUGGCGCAUACAAAGAGAAGCGACCUCGCGAGAGCAAGCGGACCUCAUAAAGUGCGUCGUAGUCCGGAUUGGAGUCUGCAACUCGACUCCAUGAAGUCGGAAUCGCUAGUAAUCGUGGAUCAGAAUGCCACGGUGAAUACGUUCCCGGGCCUUGUACACACCGCCCGUCACACCAUGGGAGUGGGUUGCAAAAGAAGUAGGUAGCUUAACCUUCGGGAGGGCGCUUACCACUUUGUGAUUCAUGACUGGGGUGAAGUCGUAACAAGGUAACCGUAGGGGAACCUGCGGUUGGAUCACCUCCUUA
This 1541-nucleotide ribosomal RNA is filed under the name Escherichia coli LY180. RNAcentral's name for it is "bacterial SSU rRNA". It matches the Rfam family "Bacterial small subunit ribosomal RNA". The record is from RNAcentral. Lineage: Bacteria; Pseudomonadati; Pseudomonadota; Gammaproteobacteria; Enterobacterales; Enterobacteriaceae.